RNAcentral lists this unclassified non-coding RNA (88 nucleotides) under Chryseobacterium soldanellicola. RNAcentral describes it as "Flavo-1 RNA". Lineage: Bacteria; Pseudomonadati; Bacteroidota; Flavobacteriia; Flavobacteriales; Weeksellaceae. The record is from RNAcentral.
GAGAAUAUCAGAUGCUGAGAAAUGCUUCUUUAAAAAUCAUCAGAGCCCUAGGAAUUGAAGGAGGAUGUAACGUACAGCUGGCUUUAGA